UUUCAGAAAUGUGUAUUGCCAUAAAACCUGCCCCAUUCAGUUCCUCUUACAUCAGAAUGGCUACCCAUGGUGCUUGGACAAAGUCACAUUCAAUGACCUCUGAUUACUGCAACAAUCUCCAUGUGACUAAGGACAAAUGGAAAAGAUGAGGCUGUUCUGUAACAAACCAGGGCUGACUUUAACCAAAGACCUGGGAUUGAGUCUGCUCUCACGAUAUUGGAUGUUGGUUUGCAUGGUUGUGAGGAAAGGAAUCUGAAAGAGAAACCCUAUAAAUGGCCAGCAUCAAAGACCACAGCCCCUCUCCACGGUCAAUCCGUGCAUUCAUAGAAUGGUGAUGUCUUGAGAGCCCAAUGGAAAUGGCCCAAAAUGCUGAGAGAGGUUUGGUUGUUAUCGCCGUUGCUCUGUGAGGAUUUAUCUAAAAUCUCUCACAUACCUUACUUGUGAGUUAUUUCUCAUUCUCACAAAAACUCUACAACUCCAGUAUUAUUUCUCAUUUUACAAUUGAGAAAACUGAGACUCAGAAGCUUUGCCCAGCAUCAGGAGCUUAUGGGAGGCCGCACAGAAUCCACGUUUUCCCACCUUCUGUACUUUAUGUAGUAACCUCUUAUUUUGACAGAAUUGUUCUGUUUGCUUAGCUUUUGACACCUGUAUUCCUCACACCUGUCUUAUGUGCCUGGAGAGAAAAAAGUUUAAGGAUUGCAGCUCAAACUACAGUGACUAGGGAGUAGAAAGAAGUCAUGUUUUUCUCCAAGCCAGACAAGAAAUCCUGCAAGAGCAUGAACAUCUCAGCUGUUCUCGGCCUGCAGUUGUCUUCUUUGAAGGUGCUAAUCCGCAGUGGCGCUCACAUUUGAUGUCGCACGGCCAGAGUCCAUUCCUCCCUGGAAGCCAGCAGGGUCACAGACUGCAGCUGUGCGGGCUCUCUGCUCCAUGCCAGGGAUCUAGGACUCCCUCCUGCACUCACCGGGGCUUCUCCUGCUGCGCAGCAAGGACAGCGAUGUCUGUGCUGGUCGCAGCAGGGUUCCAUCGCAAACCACAUGUCAGAGAGCGCCCAAAGCUAAAGCCAGAAUUACUGUGUCUUUCCUCAUCUGACCUGAGAUUAAAUCAUCUCUGCCCUCCUGGAUUUUUCCAAGAGCAAAAGAAUCCUUCCAGUAAUGGAAACGAUGAGGCUUGUUGGUGGAGAGCUCAUGUUGGUGUGUCUGCAAGGGACAAGCGGAGUGAGCUGUUUCUCCCGACCUCCUGUCCCCUACGGAGACUACUCCAGGGUCAACCCUCGGCCUGCAGCUCGCUGACCUGCCAAGGAGGGGGCAGGGAGGAGCAGAGAUCACAGAAUCUAGAAUCGAAAGGCAUGCUUUGAAUCUCACUUCUUCCUUUAAUCACUGUGUCUUCAGGCAAGCAAGUGAGCAAGCUGACCUUGCUGGUCUCACUUCCUGAAACGAUAAAGUGAGGAUAAUAAUCUCAAAAAUUUGAGUGAAGAUUUUAUACACAUAUAUAUACACAUAUAUCUAAAAAUAAAACAUCUUUCAAAAUCUUUCUCUCAAAUAAAUCACAUUAAAUCUGUAUCUGCGUGUAUAUACACAUAGCCAGUUCUGGUGGUCUCAUGGUUAAGAUUCAGUGCUCUCACUGCCACAGCCCGGGUUCUUUUCCCAUCUUUGGGUUGUCACACUGUGGCGGCUGCUUGUUGCUGUGAUGCUGAAAGCUCUGCCACUUGUAUUUCAAAUACCAGCAGGGUCACCCAUGGUGGACAGGUUUCAGUGGAGCUUCCAGACUAAGUCAGACUAGGAAGAAGGAACUGGCUGCUCACUUCUGAAAAAACUGGCCGUGAAAACCCUGUGAACAGCAGCAGAGCAUUGUCCAACACAGCUCCAGAAGCUGCGUGUGAGUUUGGCCUGAGAAAGGAGACAGGAUCAACGUCUUCCCUCUCUCCCCACUAUGAUGGGCUAAGCUGUGUCUGCCGACGUUCACGUGUUGAAGUCCUAACUCUCAGUGUGACUGCAUUUGGACAUGUCGCCUUUAGGGAGAUAAUGAAGGUUAAAUGAGGUCAUCAGGGUGGCUCCUGAUGUGAUAGGACUGGUGUCCUUACGAGAAGAGGAAGAGACUCCAGAGGCCACUCUCUCUCUCUCUGCACACACGGAGGCAAGAUCAGGUGAGGAGAUCUACACGCCAUCUACACGCCAAGGAGAGAGGUCUGAGGAGGAACCACCCUUGAUCUUGGACUUCCAGCCUCUAGAACUGUGAGGAAAUAAACAUCUGCUGCUGAAGCCGCCCAGACUGUGGUACUUUGUUAUGGCAGCCGAGCUGACUGAGACGCCCGCCUUGCCCUUCUCCCUGUCCUGCCUCCUUUCUACUCUUGCUUCUGGUUUCUCCAGGGAGGACAGGGGGAGGAGAAGAGACAAAGGUUGAAAAGUUUGACUUAAGUGACACGGUUGAAGCUCAUACCCCUUGGCUAUAGCAGGUGGCCACAUGUCCGAGAG
This is a long non-coding RNA of Equus caballus (horse), 2471 nucleotides long. Lineage: Eukaryota; Metazoa; Chordata; Mammalia; Perissodactyla; Equidae. The record is from Ensembl.